AUGCAAGAACGAGCGACCGUCAAGCAGGACCACGGCGAGUUAUUAAAAUCGAGAAUCGAGGUGUGCGAGGAGACACCUUGAGACUUGAGAACGGAAAAGAAGGCCCGUUGCAAAAAUGCCGUGCAUUCGGCGGGGUAUUGAUAGCACGUGUUGCAGACGACACGAUGGUCACGUUUUCUCGGACUUCUGAUUCGUUUCGGGCACAAUGGCCCGAGUGGGCGCGAACAGCGACGAAGAGGAUAAGGGUCGUGAGAAAGAGAGAGGGGAAGUAAGACAGAGCGAGAGAGGGCGAGCGAGAGCGAAGGAGCGAAAAGGAGAGAGAGAGAGAGAGGGAGAGUUGCUGAAGAGCAUCGUUUACAUGGCGCUACGUGCUCCAAUGAGUGCAUCACGUCCGAGGUCUCGAGGACAACGUGACGACGCUCGCCACCUUCUUCCGCCGCGCUCCCGUGAUAGGUGCACCAGGUACUCGGCGAGAUGACAACGGCGCGAAACGUAUGCGCACGUCAGUAAAUUGUCCCCGACGUGCGAAACCGGUUCCAGCCGUUCGAGUCGUUACACUUCAAAGGCUAAUGCUGAACAGGUGAAAGUGAAGUAAUAUCGACGAAAGGGACACGCGAGCGAGUGAGCGAGCGAGCGAGCGAGCGAGCGAGCGAGCUGCCGAGCGACUGGAACUGGCACUCGCGCGUCUUCUUCUGCUGCAAGCUCGCCCCGGGAACAUGACCGUGGAGACGCGUUCGUCCUGAGCCGCCUCGUUGGCUCGCUGACAGUCAGCUAACCUAAGUCGGACGAUAUCGUCGUGUCGAGCACGACGGCAAGGCGUGACGGUGACACCGCGAUUCUCUUCGCACCAUGGCUACGGUCGACAAGCUGGAAAAUGUCUGCAGACUUUGCCUGGAGAAAAAGAACGAGAUGAUGCCGAUCUUUGGCAACGAGAGCAUGCAGCGCAAGGUGCCUCACAAGCUGCGCGGCUGCCUGCCAGUGUUGGUGUAUCAAACCGACCCGUUGCCCAAGCAGAUUUGCCAGUUCUGCGCGGCCAGGUUGGACGACGCUUACGAGUUCCGGGAGCACUGCCUGGACGUCUUCAAGAAGAUGUUCAACAUGCUACUGAAGUCCCAGCAGACUGAGUCGGUGCGGAUAUUUUUGGACGCUAUGACCAACUCGCAAGACCCAUGCCAGGCGCAACUGUGCAAGAAAUCCAGAGCGCCACCACCUUUGGUCCCUUUGCCAAAUUCACUGCCACUUGACAACUCAUUAGCUCCGAUCAAUCAGAUCAAUCAAGACCAGCUGCAAAACACUUGCAUAGAGAGCCUGCCUGAAUUACCAUGCGAAGUGGAGAUAAAGGAGAUGACCACGGACACAAACUUGAACGACCAAAUUACCGCUUGUGAGUCACCGGUUAGAAGGCCCAAAUGGUUGGAGUCUUACAACACGAGUUUACGAACAGUGACAAAUACAGUUCCUACAUUUGAUACGGGAGAUGAGCAGGCAUUCUCUAAAGCAGAAUACCAAGCGAGGAAGGAAGAGAAGCGUACGAGCAUCUUGGAGCAGGCAUUGACCGGCAAUAUCACGUUGAACAAUCUGGCAAAGAACAGUUUAACGGUGGACCACCGACAGAGGCUGCAGACCAAGGCAAAGCUAACUUCCGAAUGGUGGUGCGUGCCGUGCAACACAUACUUCAAAUCGAGAGACAGUCUGGUGAAGCACAUGCAGGUGUUUUGCCCGCGCGACUUUACUUGCAAAAGAUGCUACGUAUCCUUCGAGUCCGUGGAACUCUUGGCGAAACACGAAGCUGAUUAUCAUUUGGUAGUGAGGUUGGGCUCAGUCGAGAACUUAAACGACUGCGACCAGUGCGACCGGCAAUUUCUAAGCUGGAACAUGUUGAAACAGCACAGAUUGUGUCACCAUUUGGCCGAAUUGACCGAAUUUCUCGACAGAAACACACGGUGUUCAUUGUGCAAUAGGUGUUUCCCUACUGUACGAGCUUACCAAAACCACAUGCAGUUGCAUCGAAUGAACGACAGUUCGUUGUUACCACAAAGACCGUUUUCAGCAGAGCCUACAUUUCCGAUGGUGAGAGUGGAACGAAUGGGAGAAGUUAAAAGGAUAGAUCCAUUCUACGAAAACUCAAAGUCCCUCAAGUGUCCCACAUGCGGAAAGGUUUGCACAGCGCAGAGCGCAUUGUCGAACCACAUGCGUACUCACAAGCCGAAGAAGUACAAGUGUAACUUUUGCGGCCGACUGUUCGGCCUGCUCAUACGGUUAGCGGCGCACAAAAUGUCACACGACAAGCAAGCAGAGGUGUCGCCAGUAAUGUCGGCGGUCGAGCAAGAGGAGGCAUUGAAUGCUGAGAGAGAGGCGAGGGAAGCGGCGAGAGAAGCCAGAACUCGUGUCAACAAAAGAUCGUAUUCCGAGAUGAUGGAGAAGCACGACGCGUCGCCGGAGGAUGAGCCUGCUGAGUUUAAAAAAAUAGCAAAAUGCGGCAUCUGUUCGCAGUGGUUCGGCGACCAUACGACGAUGCUGGCGCAUCUCCAGACGCACUCGGACAAUUACAACUGCAAGAACUUCACGUGUCACGUGUGUAAGAAGUCGUUCAAGGAACAAUGGCAGCUGGUCAGGCACGAAGCGAGUCAUAAGCGCGCCGAUAAGGCCGCAUACACGUGCAACAGCUGCAAGAAGUCCUUCGUGGAUAAGUCUCUGUACAAGGCGCAUCAAAAGACACACAUGGUGGAUAAGACCUAUCACUGCGCCAAGUGUAACAAGAUCUUCUUCAAAGAAGUGUCGCUGCUCGCUCAUCAGUGCACAGGCGGCGCGUUGUCGGAUAAGAGGCCCGCUGCGGAACCCGCGCAAAGAACGUCGACUCACGACAGCAAUAAGAGACACAAGCGGGACCCGGCAUCGUUACCGUCACGAAACUCCCACAUGAGAAUGUACAACAACGACACUUAUGGCAACAUGACACAACAACGUGAGAUCAAAGUCGAGGCGGACGACGAGUCGAUGCCAAAAUUAAGCCCGGAGAUCUUGGAGUACAGCGUACCUAUCAUCGAGCCCAGAAUCGAAAUCAACGAGCAGAGCGCACCCCCGCCUUUCAAACGGACUCUCAUCAAGACAACUAACGGGUAUCGAUGUGGCGUGUGCAAGUCGCCGUUCGUGUCGAGGGAGCUAGCCGUGGCUCACUUGAGGUCAGCUCAUCCAAUAAUGCCGUAUCAAUGUCCUUACUGUAAAAAACGAUUCACCACGCAGUAUAUGUUCACCCACCACAUCAAGACGGAGCAUCCCGAGGAGCCCGAGAAAUGAAGACCGCUCGUGACUCUUCGACUAACAUGGACCCGAUCGAAGUUGUAUCACAAUAUGUGCCUCGUACUAUCUACACGAGAGAGUUCGUCUCUCAUAGUAUAUGUGUACAGAGUGUUCAUCGAAGGGCUUCUCAAGCUCGAACCGUUUGAGUCGCGAUGGACACUCUGUAUAUAAAGUGCGUCGAACUUUGGCCCGAAGGCUCAGACCGACGUGCCGUUUUUGUUCAUAAGUAUUGAACGGAAGAGUCCUUUAGUAUGUAACCGCGAGCGCGUAACGUUGAGAUGUUUGUUGAAUGCGAGGCUAUUGAUACUAGUACUUACGCUGAUGAACGUGCCUGUAUAAGUGCUUUGUUUUACAGUGUUAUUAUAGUCCGACGGCGCAGCUAACCGCGCGCAGGAGGAGAGAGAGAGAGAGAGAGAGAGAAGGGGAGAAGGUGUUUCUAGAACGACGGUAAGGAGAAUCUUAAGCGUGUUGAUUAGGGGAAAAGAAUUUAGUUAGUUACACGAACGUUCGGACGGCCAACAGGGAACUUUAGUUACGCAAUUUGUAUUAUGUACGGUCUGUAGCGAUGAAAAUGACAUUGUGGUCGACCGGUUGCAGUGACGUGAGAAUACGGAGAGUCCUCCGCGCGACACACACAUCGCGAGUUCGUUGACACGUUGUGUUUUAAUACCGUUGUGAGUUAUCUUGCGUUUUAGAGAGAGAUAAACGGAGAAGGUGUCGAGAAUCCUCAAUCGCCUUAAAUUGCGUUAGAACACAUUCCCGCAAUCCCGCAAUCCCGCAAUCCGUGACUUCGACGUCACGAUCUCUCAGCGAUCGUCGCGCGACUCGAAUGCUGAGUUCUCAAGAAGAAUACCGAAGAUCAUCGUUUGUCGCGGUCACGAGUAAGCAGACGUCUUCUCAGCCGACAGCGAUGCCACGUAAUUUAAUUGUACACUUUGUCUCCCCCGGCUGCUUCGCCAGCGCGGGGAUGUGCAUUCCGGAAGCAGGCGAAGGAGGGAGGAGUAGCGUGUGUGCACCACCAUCGACGAUUGCACCGGCGCAG
Harpegnathos saltator (Jerdon's jumping ant) is the source of this 4342-nucleotide RNA transcript. It is a transcript of the gene named PR domain zinc finger protein 5, with no coding region annotated. NCBI's taxonomy places the organism in Eukaryota, Metazoa, Arthropoda, Insecta, Hymenoptera, Formicidae. The transcript is spliced from 10 exons. The record is from RefSeq and is a predicted model, not a curated record.